Molecule: long non-coding RNA, 2435 nt
Filed under: Homo sapiens (human)
Lineage: Eukaryota; Metazoa; Chordata; Mammalia; Primates; Hominidae
Description: HSALNT0343954
Source: RNAcentral
UCACGGUUAAACGGGGCUUUUUACCUUCUUUAAUCUUCAUGAGCCCUCUUGGAUCUCUUCUAAGUGAACUUUCCUUUCUUUCCUGUUCUAAGGCCUUUUAAGUAAACUUCCACUCCUGCUCUAAAAUGUGCCUAGGUCUCUUGUUCUGCUUUAUGCCCCUCAGUCUAGUUGUUUCUUCUGAGGAGGCAAGAUUUAAAGUUGCGGCCGACCUGUGCGGAUUUGCUACUGGUAACUCCUGGUAACUCCGGUCUCUUCCACCACUAACAAAAUGAGGUCCUUGAGGUGGGCUCUAAUUCAGUAUGACCGGUAUCCUUACAAAGAGGAGAUGAGGACCUAGGCACACUCAGAGGAAAGAUCGCUUGAAGACACAAGGAGAAGAUGACACUGUACAAGCUAAGGAAAGAGGCCUCAGAAGAAACCAACCCUGCUGACACCUGGGUCCUGGACUUCUAUCCCACAGAACUGCAGAGGGGUUCUCUCCCCUUGGCUACCAUAGCUGGGAAUAUUCUGGGUCACACAUGAAGCCAGCAUGGCUCUGAAUCUUACCCAAGGGACACAGUAAGCAUCGCUCGUGUUCUGCUCUUGCACCCUGAUCUACCUCCCCUUCCUUACCCUAGAGCACCCCCAUGCUGACAGAGUCUCGCUCUGUUGCCAGGCUGGAGUGCAAUGGUGAGAUCUCAGCUCACUUCACCCUCCGUCUCCCAGGUUCAAGCAAUUCUCCUGCCUCAGCCUCCCGAGUAGCUGGGACUACAGCAGAGACAGGGUUUCAUCGUGUUGGACAGGCUGAUCUUGAACUCCUGACCUCAAGGGAUCAACCCACAUCGGCCUCCCAAAGUUCUGGAUUUAUAAGUGUGAGCCACCAUGCCCGGCCCUGACUUCUACUUUCAAAAGGUCUUUUUUCCUCUCUUCAUUAAUUUUCUAUUAAAAUGUGGGUGAUCCAGUGGUUUAUUCUGCAGCAGUGCCACUAGAUAGAAUGAGUCAAAACCCCUGAAAUAUCUUUACUGAAGUUUCCCCAUUCAUGGCAUUCCCUACCAUCCUGACAUGCCAGGUACUAAGGGGUUUCCUGGUAUACAGGACUUUCAGUACUAAAACCAGAAUAAUCCCAUGCAAACCUGAACUGCUGUACACCCAACCAGGCAUACUCUAUAAGAAAACAGUGUAAGGGAGAAAUAUUAUUUUAUUGUAUUAAGCCACUGAGAUUUAGAAAUUUGUUUUUGUAACAGCAAUUAGCCUACCUUUAGUAACAGAAAUUAAUAUCUCACAGUGUUAGACUACCAAAACAAACACAUUGGCUUAGAUAAUGAAUAAUGAGAAAACUGAUAUCAAGAGCUGGAAAGAUGUUGAUCCAUGCUUUCCCAUGGGGAAGCUCUUGAUAAUAUUGGCACUAUGUUAACAUUGGAGGCAGAUUACUUGUAUUCUAAGCUAGUAACACUAGGAUAAGAAAUCAGAAGUCACUUGUGUCCUCUGUGGUGGUGGUAUGUUUUUAAAAAUGUAAAGGGCAACUGUACUACAACUUUUGUGAAAUGUAGAAAGCAAUUUCAUUACAAUGUAAAAUGUAUAUUAAAACCACGUUGCAGCUGCACAAAAAAAGAUAUCAGGCUAGAUUUGUAUAUCGUAUUCAUAUAUAUGUAAAACAAAUCACAACCUCAUAUGCACAGAUUCAUAAAAAGUAAUAUUUUUUCUUGCAUCUGUCUUCAUUUAAAAAAGAUUAUGCAGAAAAUACAUCCAUGUGGUAUAUAUAAGGUCUAUAGGCAUCCACGUGUAAAGAUAUAUCUUUCCCUUGCUGUCAACCACUGUUUGUCUUCCCCAUUUAAAACCUUGGUGUUACAUUCCUUUUCUCACUGUCUUAUGUGAAUCAUUAUUAGUUUAUCAUCAAUUGCAUUUACGUUUGUGGGUCAUUAAGCCAGGCUCUUUCAACUAACUUUUAACUUUGCCAGCAUUUUUAUACCAAUAGUACGACAAUGAAACCACAUAGUACUGUCACGGACUUUGUCCCAGUGAGAUACACAGAAAGAGAGGACUGGACAAUAUUGAAAGAGCACAAUUAACCCUUUCCAAAAUUUUCCUUUUCUAUUAUUGCACUGUGGCAUUUUGUUGCUUGUUAUUACCAUCUUUGGAAACUAUCGCUUGAAAAUACCACUUAAAAACCUUUAAGAAAGUUCUAUUUAUUAUUUGAAUGUUUGUGCAAAUUGAAAUAAAAUAUGCAUUUCAAUCACUGUUUGGAUCUCUAUGUUGUUCAUCACACAAACCAUAUUAAUGCUAGAGCAGCAUCUUUCCAAUCUUCCUAGGAUAGAGUUCAGCAAGAUAUAUCAUUGAUUAACUUCCUUAUGAUUAACUACCUUAUUGUAUUCAAGUCUUUUCUAAAUUAUUAUUUUCUUAAGGAAUCUUGUACCACAACCCGACUUAAUAUUGCAAUCUCAUCCCUGGGAAUUUUG